AUUUAACAAAGCUGGCUAAUGGUGGUGAGAAGGAAGGGGGUUGAUUUUUGCAUCUCAGAACUGUUGAGCCUACAAAUAUUACUGAAAUCACAUCUGGGAACAAAGCUCUGCUUUAACGCAGUAUUUAUACCGAUGCGUACCCAGCACGCAGAGAACUGAGCUGCAUCCUGGAGCACUGGCACAAGCAGUAACGCACCAGAACUGUCAACAUCUGUCUCUGGAUUAAACAGCGAGGAAGGCGAGAACAAAUCUUUUCUAUCAUCAGCAGCAGGGUUUGCUGCAGGAAGAUGAUAAUUCGCUCCUGUUACUCUGCUGACAGCAACCAAGCUUCACAAGGAGGAGCAAGGCAUUUUAAUCAUGGAAUUGAAAACCACGGCAGUUUCUAAAGCUUCACCUCAACUUGGUUGAUUUACAUUAAUUUAGGAUCAACUGGCUUGCAGUGAAAUUAUGCAUUGAAGAUAAGGGAGGAAGAAAAAUUCAGUGUAAUUUCUAGUUUGCCUGUGCAUAAGAAGCACAUGUCUACAUAUAUAAGUACUUUUGGAGCAUCCUGGAUACGCAGGAACCACCAAAUUCCUCAAAAGCACACUGCAAAUUUGAAGGCUCCCUAAUUACACAGGAAGAGGUUUAUAAAUGCUCUACUUUAAGAUACAGAGGAUUAAGUGGAAAAGAUGAAAAAUGUUAACUGGCUAGUCAGGAUCCAAUCCAAUGCCUGCUGAAGUCAUCAGAAAACCUGUGACAGAAGCCUAGAGGUUUUGGCUGUGGCUCUGUCAUCAGAUUACCAUUAUAACAAAGGCAGCCCAUAACAGGCUUCUAAAAUAAAUGCAAAUUUCAUGUUGAAAACAGUCAGGCACCCCCAAAAUUAACAAUUUGAGCACACAGCAGCUUACAGGCAGCAGCUUUGGGCAUGUGGCACAACAUCUGUUACAAAAACACUAGAAAGCAGACCUGUGGCAAACUGGACCACUGCCAGCUCUCAAGAUCUACCCCCCGCCAAGGCUGUCAAAUAAAUGGACAGAUGGCAGCCAACGCACUCACAGGACAGUUAGCUCGGUUAACAAUCAAGUAUGCUAAGUGAUUUCAGAUCCACUCUGGACCAAGCGUUCUAUUUUCAAUUGAAUCAUUAACACUAUGUCCUAAUAGGAAUAUAGUUUGGUAUUAAGAAACUGGCAGAAACUGUAUUUUGCAAGACAGUUUCUCUGGAACAAUUUGUCAGGGAACAUCAGAUCUGCCUUCAUGAAUAAAGUCAGAAUCUGCCAAGUCUGCUGGGCUUUGUCCAUACAUUUAAUUUUACAGCAUUUGAAGAAUGGGGAUGGAAGAAAGCAUUAAAAUGCAGGUCAGUUAACAGCACAAGCUGCUCCCUCGGAUGCACUCAGCUGAAAGAGCAGAGUAGAUGUUAACAGCACAUAGGAUAUCAUAUCACCGUGGCUCUUCUGCCUGCCUGGUGUGGUACAUCACACUGAGUUCUUCUGGACAGGAGCCUACGGUCAGUCUAUGAACAUUACACAGAUCUUCUGUUAGCUUUCUCUUUCUAUUAUGACACUGGCUUUCUUCAGAGAUGUUUAUAGUGCAUCACCAUAGCUAUACUAUGAAAAUCAGCAGUAGCAGCCAAGAACUAAUAUGUCCCACUCUUCUGUUUCAGACAUGGAAAAGUGUUAAAAAUGUUUUGGGGGCAAGCCCAAGAACUCUGCCAGGGCACUGAACUCCUUAGCAGCAUGCUCUGUAGGGCUUUCCUCCCUGUUGGAAAGAUGACUGAAUGAUGCAACUACUGGUAUGUGAUCACCAGAGGAGGGAAGCCAGAGAUACAAUUUAACUAAACACAAAAAGUAGUGCAAACCUUUCAGAAACUGAGACAGGGAAACAACCACUUUUUCUGACUCAACUUAAUGUAAAUCUGAUUAGACCUUAGUGAAAUUUACUCUUUGCUUUCCAGGUCUUCUUGAAGAAAAAAAAAAAUCUUCUGAUGUCAUAGCAUCAAGAGAGUAGAGAUACCACACAACUGUGGGAAAACAGCUGGAAAGCAAUUGGUUUCCUUGGCCCUAAUCACCUGGUAAACCUGCAAAAAAAGCCAUUAAAAAACAAGGUCUGCUUCAAAGCUACUCAUUAGGCUGGACUAGCAAAGCUCAAGUUUGAGUCUUGUGUUUUAUUCACAGGGUCCACGCUUGCCUCUUAUCUGUCUCCUUCUAGUAUCUGCUCAUGAGAAAAAUCACAAAAGAGAUUUUUUUUUGGCUUUCCUCAAAAUCUUGUUACUGCCACAAAUAGAUAAUGCAUUGUAUUAUUACUCCAGAAAGAGGCAACUACAGAGUACUGCUUUCUGAAUGUGAUUAGGUACAAGCAGAACAACAGAAAGCUUCCACUGUAGAGAAGGGGAAGGGCUUUUUGUUGUGGGUUUUUUUUCCUCUGUCAGCUCAGCAGCAGUGAUGGUACCAAAUGAAGUCUUCCUGCUCAUUCAGCAUCUGUGGUCUAUUAUUUGCCAAGAGUUUGAUCUUGACCUUUUGGUUUGUGCCUACAGUACCCAGGAUUCCCCAGUGGUCUCACAGCCAAAUAUGUGUCUAGUUUAGGAUUGCUGAGCUUGCAAAAUCAUACCACCAUAGACUAUGUUUUGUUGCUACAGGGUAGAGUAGCAAAACCUAGAAUGCUUGUAUUUCUUAGAUUCUUCCUAUACUCUGCUUACAGUCCGAUAAUAUUUUGAUGCUUUGAGGAAAUAGAGCAAGCAAUUCUUAUCAAAACACAGCAAUCUGGGAAAUUAAAACUACAAGGAAAAACCACAAAACAGGUGGUAAAAUUGCAUUUAUCAUUUUUUCCUCUAGUUAUCUAAUAUUCCAGCCAUCCCAAACUACUUCAUUUUUACCUUAUAUAAUACUGAACAAAGUGAAACAUCCUGAAAACACCAUAAGAAAUACAAUUUUGAGGCCAAUCUUAAUUAUGGAUAGGCAGGUCUAAAAUAAUUGUAGAUGAUGUGCACGUAUUAAAGUUAAAAACUAAAAAAUUGUAUAUAUACCUUGGAGUUCAAUUUUUAUAUGCGCUCUUUUCCCCAUAUCCUUAUUGUUGCUUAUAGGAUCCUCCACUUUUUAAUUCCAUGACUCAUACAAUCAUGCAACAAAAGCACUAUGUUUAUGUUGCAUAAGGUUGUACAGCAGAAUGUCUGCAGCAUAAAGUACACUGAUUAAAAUAAUUUUAUAAUGCAAUUAAAGCUCAACAACACUGCAAUUACAAUACUUGUAAAAUGCAUCUAUGUGGAAAGCUAUAAAGUCGGAAUGAACACGACAGCUUGAUCCCUUGUUGUACAGAUAUACAAUAAUUCUUAAUCUGUUCUUGCCUGGGCAGGUAAGAAGUUGUGUCCUAUUCAAGAUUAAUUAAAAGGAACACUUGUUCUUUCUGAAUGAUGUCAUGUCUAGUAACAUACAUAAAUUAACUCAUGUCAGUAUUGGCCAAGUUGUGUCAUGACUUUUUUUUUUAGUUACAUCAUGUACUAAUUUUUUACUGAGAUUAUUAUAGAUUGUCUACACAUUUUACAAUCUCUGUAGAGAAAGAUUACUUUUUAUAAAGCACCAGUGAAUGUA
Molecule: long non-coding RNA, 3560 nt
Organism: Melopsittacus undulatus (budgerigar)
Lineage: Eukaryota; Metazoa; Chordata; Aves; Psittaciformes; Psittaculidae
Exons: 3
Source: RefSeq, a predicted model, not a curated record